GACGAACGCUGGCGGCGUGCUUAACACAUGCAAGUCGAGCGGAAGGGCCCUGCUUUUGUGGGGUGCUCGAGUGGCGAACGGGUGAGUAACACGUGAGUAACCUGCCCUUGACUUUGGGAUAACUUCAGGAAACUGGGGCUAAUACCGGAUAGGAGCUCCUGCUGCAUGGUGGGGGUUGGAAAGUUUCGGCGGUUGGGGAUGGACUCGCGGCUUAUCAGCUUGUUGGUGGGGUAGUGGCUUACCAAGGCUUUGACGGGUAGCCGGCCUGAGAGGGUGACCGGCCACAUUGGGACUGAGAUACGGCCCAGACUCCUACGGGAGGCAGCAGUGGGGAAUAUUGCACAAUGGGCGGAAGCCUGAUGCAGCAACGCCGCGUGCGGGAUGACGGCCUUCGGGUUGUAAACCGCUUUCGCCUGUGACGAAGCGUGAGUGACGGUAAUGGGUAAAGAAGCACCGGCUAACUACGUG
RNAcentral lists this ribosomal RNA (468 nucleotides) under uncultured bacterium. RNAcentral's name for it is "partial 16S ribosomal RNA". It matches the Rfam family "Bacterial small subunit ribosomal RNA", at positions 28 to 507 of the family's 1533-position model. The record is from RNAcentral.